UCUCUCUCUCUCUCUGCCCAUCUCUGCUCACACACUUGCUCUCUCUCAAAAUAAAUAGACUUAAAAAUAUUAAAAAAAAAAGUGGAUCCUCCCCAUGUUCCUAUACCUCGCUCAAGUGCUGCCAGAGUUAACAGUUCACCCCAUUUUCUUUGUGGCCCAGAUGUUUUUACACAUGUCACACCCCUGCCCCAGAUUAUCGACUCGCUGGAGAAGGGAACAGCCUCAUCCAUCUCUCCAUCCCCUGGCAGACAGUAGGCCCCCCAAAACACUGGUUGAACAUGGUCGCUUUGAGAUUCCUCUUUUCCUGUGGUCCUAAAGCUGGAUCUGUUCUUUCAAAGUGGCUGGCUUAGCAUGUCCACUCGUAUAGAAAGAAGAGGGAGAAAUCAGAUGCAAGGAGAUGGUUAGGAGUUCUGUGCGGUGAUUGAUAUGUUUGAUUAAAGGAGGACAGAUUGGUUGGGUCUGGUGAGUGGAAUAGAAGAAAGGGGUAGAGGGAAGCAACGUUUUGAAGGAAGAAGCAGGAGAGUUGGGGUUCAUGGCUAGACUGGUCACCAGACCGACAGAGGCAGGGCGGGGGGUGAAUCUAAGAUGUUGCUAAGCUUUGGCACUUCGGUGGCUGGAGGGAGCUUGGAGGGGGUUUGACGUCAUGACAUCUUCUGAUUGUUUGUCUCCACAGAAGGGCUCUUGACUCGGUUUGCACCAGCGGGCUCAAGCAGGUGUCGUGUAUUUUCAGACAAAGAAGGAAAUCAAGACACACGUAGUUAAAGGUCAUUUCCCAAGCACCCAUGAUUAAACUCGGUGAAUUUUUCAAAAAGGAUUGAGAAACUAGAUGAAUAGGCUCAGGAGAGGGAAAGGGUCCUAUUGAACAAUCGCUGGGUACUGCAGAGUGUAGUAGGCACCCCUUUUGUUUUCUCUCGCUUAGAUCUUGAUGUAGAUAUUAUUAACCCAUUUUAUAGAUACAAAAGCUGCGAUGAAGGGGCUCUCCAAGCCCCUUGACUGUAGCACCUCACUGUCAUUCUACCUUGCCAUUAGGGUUAUAUCUCUACACUUUUUUAAACCAGAUUUUGCUUUGAAAAUCGUUUCUUCCAACUUCGUUGCAGUCAUACAUAUGUAUAUACAUGGGUACAUACACACACGCACACACACACACACACACACACACACGCACACACACACACACACACACACACACACACACAUAUAUACUCCAUAGCAGGAUUGGCUUUGUGACACCUUACAGGUGUUUGCUCGUUUGGGAACUAUGUCCAUAUUAUUCAUCACAUCAGCACUACAAGCCACCCCACCCUCCCCAAGGUCGGUCAAAGGCUGUAAUGAGGCUGAGCAGCAUUAGAAGAAUUCUCCUCUGCCCUAGUGAUCUGAACUCUGAGGUGCUGCCAGCGUGGGCAGGGCUGUGGACACAUGGAUGCUCACGCAUCCGGUGAGGAUGCAGGGCCUGGAGCUCUUUCCAGAUGAGCUGAAAUGCUUAGUCUUCAGCCUGGGCUGCUGUGCCUUUGGAGCCCGAGGUAGCAGCAGUUACAAGUUGAUCUGCCUCCUGACAGCUCCCUCCUGGAAGGCCUGCCUGUCUUCCUGGCAUCAGUGGAGGGGGUGGCAACCAAGUGCUCCACGGAUGGACACCCAAGACCUACCACAGCACAUUUCACGUGUCAUUGAAGAAGGAUGGAAAAAGACGGUAGCCAGACAUAACUCGGUUCAGUAAGUUUUGGGGCCCUAUUCAGGUAUAGGAGGAGAGGGGACAGCAAAGGGGUCAGGCCAACACCCUGCCUUCAUUUCAAAGGAGAGAAUGUGACAGAAUACGAGAUCAGUCUCAUUCAUUCAUUCAUUCAUUCAUCCAUCCCACGUGUGUUAUUUACUAUUUAUUGAGUACCUACUAUAUGCCAAGUCAGCCACAGCAUGGAGCCCUGGAGUCAUAAUGAUGAGCUUAGAUACUGUCCCCAAUCUCUUAGCACUUUCAGUAUCUUGGAGAAGUCAGUUCAACCAGCAGUGACAUUUGGGACGUCUGGUUUGAAGAGGUCAGGGGAGGCUUCCCUAGUGAGAAGCAGACUGGAGGAAGGACUACAUAAGCAGGUCCCGUGGUGGACUGAGUUGUGUCACCCCCAAGUUCAUAGGUGAAGCCCUAACCCCGCCAUGUGGCUGUAUUUGGAGACAUGGCCUUUAAAGAGGUAAUUAAGGCUAAAUGAGGUCAUAAGGGUGGAGCCCUAAUCCACUGUGACUGGUGUCCUUAGAAGAGGAAGAGACGGCAGGGGUGCCUGUGCACGGAGGAAGGGCCAUGUGAGGGUGCAGCAAGAAGGCAACUGUCUGCAGACCAAGGGGAGAGGCCACAGGAGAAACCAACCUGCUGAUACCUUGAUCUUGACUUCCAGCCUCCAGAACUGUGAGAUAGUAAACUUCUGUUUCAGCCACCCAGUUAGUGGUAUCUUAUUAUGGUUGCCCUAGCAAAGUAAUACGCUGGUAUACAGAGAGACAGAGACAGAGAGGGAGAGAGAGAGAGAGAGAGAGAGAGAGAGAGAGAGAGAGAGAGUUGGCUAAAGGUAUUUUGCCUACAACAACCCUGAUUGUAAGCUCCCUGAGGGCAGAUACUAAAUCUGUUCCCUAGCAUCUGACACACUGCCUGACGCCUGGUGCGUAUUUUGUAAAUAUUUGUUUAAUGAGCAAUUGCAUGAGUGAAAAGGUUGAGGAAGGAGAAUGGCGAGAUGGGACAGCCCAUGGAAACAGUGGGGAUUUUAUCCUGUAGGCACUGAGAAAUCACUCCAGGCUUCAGAACUGGGGAUUGGGUGAAAGGGGUACUUGGGAGGGUUUUAGGAUAAACUGGGGCAGAUCAGAAGGAGUGUGGGUAGCAGUGUAGCUGAGAGAGCCUGGGAUCAAAGAGACCGGUUAGGAGGCCACAGGAGUAAUGUAGGCACUUGGUGAUAUGCUUCUACUCUGGGGCUGGGACACAGGGAAGGGGAAAUUGAGCACAGAUACAGGGGGUCAGAAUUGGAGGAAUAGAAUUUGGCCAGCAACUGGAUAUGGUUCCCUCCUGUCCUAGGUGAUAUGGAUCCCGAGGCUUUAGAGCCUCCCUUCUGUGUCUGGUAGGACGGUAUCUAAUAGCCCAGUGGCUCUUUGGAUCAUGACUCUCUAAUGCAUCCUGGAUGCCCUGUGAUCUCCUGCACUGUCGUAAGCGAGGCACGAACAAGUGACCUGACCUGUCUAAGGUCACACACCAGACCUUGCAAGAGGAUGGCUUUCUCCUCCAGCUGUUCCCAGUCCCCGAAAGACCAGCUUUACAUCUGACGUGCCGAGUCUGGCUUCUCCGAGGUCGAGCCUCCCUGGAGACGUUGAAAGUUUCCCUGCUGAUCCUCUUUCUCGUUCUGAAGAUUUUAACUGCCGGGCAUUAAAAACACCCGUGUGAUACCAUA
Molecule: long non-coding RNA, 3413 nt
Organism: Felis catus (domestic cat)
Lineage: Eukaryota; Metazoa; Chordata; Mammalia; Carnivora; Felidae
Exons: 2
Source: RefSeq, a predicted model, not a curated record